GACGAACGCUGGCGGCGUGCUUAACACAUGCAAGUCGAACGGAAAGGCCCUGCUUUUGUGGGGUGCUCGAGUGGCGAACGGGUGAGUAACACGUGAGUAACCUGCCCUUGACUUUGGGAUAACUUCAGGAAACUGGGGCUAUUACCGGAAAGGAGCUCCUGCUGCAGGGUGGGGGUGGGAAAGUUUCGGCGGUUGGGGAUGGACUCGCGGCUUAUCAGCUUGUUGGUGGGGUAGUGGCUUACCAAGGCUUUGACGGGUAGCCGGCCUGAGAGGGUGACCGGCCACAUUGGGACUGAGAUACGGCCCAGACUCCUACGGGAGGCAGCAGUGGGGAAUAUUGCACAAUGGGCGGAAGCCUGAUGCAGCAACGCCGCGUGCGGGAUGACGGCCUUCGGGUUGUAAACCGCUUUCGCCUGUGACGAAGCGUGAGUGACGGUAAUGGGUAAAGAAGCACCGGCUAACUACGUG
This 468-nucleotide ribosomal RNA is filed under the name uncultured bacterium. Its description in RNAcentral is "partial 16S ribosomal RNA". It matches the Rfam family "Bacterial small subunit ribosomal RNA", at positions 28 to 507 of the family's 1533-position model. The record is from RNAcentral.